Molecule: ribosomal RNA, 465 nt
Filed under: Vreelandella stevensii
Lineage: Bacteria; Pseudomonadati; Pseudomonadota; Gammaproteobacteria; Oceanospirillales; Halomonadaceae
Description: partial 16S ribosomal RNA
Rfam family: Bacterial small subunit ribosomal RNA
Source: RNAcentral
CCUACGGGCGGCAGCAGUGGGGAAUAUUGGACAAUGGGCGAAAGCCUGAUCCAGCCAUGCCGCGUGUGUGAAGAAGGCCAUCGGGUUGUAAAGCACUUUCAGUGGGGAAGAAAGCCUUGGGGCUAAUACCCUCGAGGAAGGACAUCACCCACAGAAGAAGCACCGGCUAACUCCGUGCCAGCAGCCGCGGUAAUACGGAGGGUGCGAGCGUUAAUCGGAAUUACUGGGCGUAAAGCGCGCGUAGGCGGUCUGAUAAGCCGGUUGUGAAAGCCCCGGGCUCAACCUGGGAACGGCAUCCGGAACUGUCAGGCUAGAGUGCAGGAGAGGAAGGUAGAAUUCCCGGUGUAGCGGUGAAAUGCGUAGAGAUCGGGAGGAAUACCAGUGGCGAAGGCGGCCUUCUGGACUGACACUGACGCUGAGGUGCGAAAGCGUGGGUAGCAAACAGGAUUAGAUACCCGAGUAGUC